Aedes albopictus (Asian tiger mosquito) is the source of this 6300-nucleotide long non-coding RNA. RefSeq lists it as uncharacterized. Lineage: Eukaryota; Metazoa; Arthropoda; Insecta; Diptera; Culicidae. The record is from RefSeq and is a predicted model, not a curated record. The transcript has 5 exons.
AAAACAUUAAUGAGUUGGUGGAAAUUGUUGUGGACUAUUCCUCUAUGUCAUAUAUUUGUAUUACGUUGAAGCAUGACUAAUCAGUUAAUUUGGAUUCCAUUUUAGUGUUUAAAAUUGUUAACAUUGAAGAAGUAGAAGAUGAUCAACCCAAGGAAAUAUACUUCACCGUCGGGCAACGUGGUUGCGUUUUGCUGCACGUUGAUGGCUACAAAUUCGUAAAGAAUCGUAAGGGGGCAUACAAAACCUAUUGGAUCUGCGCUAAAAAGGGAAGUACAGCCUGCAAAGCUAGAGUCAUCACCCCGGCAAACAGUGAGGAGAAAAAGGUUCCCACGUUGAUAGCUCGCAGCGGAACACAUAAUCACCCUGUAUUCGUAGAACGAAAAUCCCGCAGUUCUGCCAACCAUAGGAUUUUACUUUUCAAAGACCCAUAGUGAAAUAAAUUUAUCUCAACUGAAACUUUGUGUUUCGUGCAAUCGUUUUGAAUCCUGAAGAGUGUCGUUUAUGCAUGAGUUUUGGAUUAAUGGAUUUCUAUUUUCCUUUAUAGAUGACAACGACGUUGACCAGAUUUACUUCAUUGCGGAGAUCAUCGGUUCUGGUUCUGCAGAGGGAAUGAAAACUGUGAAAAUACCCACAAAGAAGAAAAGUAGAUCCAAAUCCGCAACGAUGCCUUCGGCAAACAAUGAAAUGUUCAAUUUUGAAAGCGAUGGUUCACCUUCGAAGCCCACCUACACAACUGGCCGGGGAAAUAACGUUCUCAACUACCAGGGCCACCGCUACAUCAAGAACAAUGCGCACAGCGGGAAAAUUUACUGGAAGUGUACCAAAUGGCACAGUGGGUGCAAAGGACGUGCCAUUACCAACGGGCUGGUUCCGGGCUUGGUUAUUCUGAAGAAUACGCACAACCACGAACAAUUGUAAUUUCAUCAACGGCGGUUUUUGAUUUUAAGCCAAAUAAAAAUGAACAGAAUUGAUCGACCUUCCUCAUAUUUUCCAACCGUGAUUUUUAAGUAAUAUUCGUUUAGCUAUCUUAAGCUCAUAAGCUCCCGCAACACCAAUGGUUGAGAAGUCAGUUUCUUUUUUUUGGUUUUUAUUAAUGUGUAUUUUAACUUAAAUGCUAAUUCUACACUCAAGUCAUCUUUGUGAACUUUAAAGUGGAUAAAAUACCGUAGCAACUUCUUGAGAGCCUCUUGUUGAAAUUUCUGAAAUUCGCCACAAACUUGAUGAAUCGUCAUAUAGCAAAACAUCAUCCCAGUAAAAUAAUGCUAACUUGCACUGCAAUCGUUUUAUGAAUUUCCAUUUCACGUGGUCCCUAAUGUUCAUUCAAUCUAGUACUACAUCGAAUAAUGCAUCAACUCUUAAGUGCCCUUUCAUACCAACUUUAUGCAAUCGCAACCACUUCUUGCAUCGCCUAAUUUUAGCCGUGAUACAUUCAGUCAAAGCGAUUGCUACUUGGUUGUGGAUAACGGAAUAACAACAUGCAGUACUGGAAGCGCAAUUAGUGCUACAAAUGCAAGUUUAGUUGUGAUGGACGAAAUCAAUCUAUCACCAUAAGACGUCAUCGGGCAUCGUCGGAGGCAGUAGUAGUAGUAGUAGUAAUUAACUGGCCCACGCCACGGUACCACGAAAGGUGAAAUUCUUCCUUAACAAUACCUUCCUCAGAAGAAGCAGCAGACCAUUGGCUGUCGCAGGAUUCUUCGAACAAUCUGUACAGUCUAGAUCAUGAUCAAACAAGAGAGAAUAAAACCGUUGUUUUGAGCUGUUGUUGUUCGUUAAGUUUUGUAAUACAUGAUUACUCUAGUACUUCACAGUAAUUCCUACAAAACAUGCCGUUUUAUCAUUUUCCACAGAAUCCUCCAGGAGGAAGCUUUACGAAAGGUUUUUGCUACCGAAAGCCGGAAUGGAAGUGGCCCGGUUCGGGAUCAGCCAACGAGGAGCGAAGAAACUGAUCUGCCAUGGAUACGAAUACGUCAAGGACCGAGACUUUCCGGAUUCGACCAAUUGGCGUUGUGCUUUGUUCCGCCGGCAGAAGUGCCGCGCCCGUGCCAUUACCAAAAUCAUUGACGGUAUCACCUACGUAAGGCUUACGAACGAUGCACACAGCCACGAUGUCCGGAUGUACCGGAGGAAUCCAGUGAUUAUUACGAAAGCGGACGAAAUGGAGUCUACAUAAGAAAGAAAGUAGUUUCUUUGUUGAAUUAUUGUAAGAAAAAUAUACGUAUAUCAGAAUGGGUUCACUGCCCUGUUUAAACUAUGUUUCCUUUAGUGGUUCCAAUGACUUACUAGAUUACUACUGCACUAAUACGAACUAUUUGCAUUUUUAGGUGUUUUCGAACCAGCUGUAUUCGGAACUACUCGUCGUGGUCAACAGAAACUAAUACACAAUGGGCAUGCGUACACCAAGGAUCGACAGUCGGCGAAGACUUGCAACUGGAAAUGUUCGCUCUUCACCCGGUACAAGUGUAAGGCACGUGCCGUUACGAGGGACAUCCAUGGCGUGGUGUACGUGAAGGUCACCAACACGCUACACUACCACCCGGUGGAGCAGUACAAGAUCAACUACCGAAAGGGGUUGAGCGUUAACCCAAUGAGUUUGGCGAACACUUUUAUCCCGCAUGCCAAGGAUGAGUCGUUUUGAGAUGUGCAAGUAUCGCUUAUAAGUAAGAGUAGGGUUUCUCGUCGCAAAUAUAUUGUGUGUGUUAGUGUUAUUCUAGUACUUCAGUUGAUAUAUUCACCCUAAUGAAACACUCUGUAAGAUGACAUCCGAUGACCAAUUAUUAUUUACUAGGAGUAGAGAUGAUUCUACUGCAGUUUUAGUACGUCAUUGUCAUACACUAAACUAUUCUGUACUUUUAGAUGACAAAGCUGUAUUCACCGAACGAGCCCAGUACGAGUACACCUCCCGAGGAACGCAGCGCUUGCUUCAUGGCGGAUAUUACUUCAGCAAAAACAAAACCAACGAAUCGAGCGGGCGGGUGAACUGGAAGUGCCAGUUUUACCAACGGCUGCGCUGCAAAGCAAGAGCCAUCACAAAGAACAUCAACGGAUACGACUACGUACGCGUCACCCACGAAGAGCACACGCAUCGCCAGGAUCUCACCGAGGAUGAGUUCCGUCGUCCCAAACGGAAAAGAGAUUUCUGAGUUGAGAAGUUUGGCAAAGUAACUGCGACACAAUCAUUUGAUGUAAAAUUGCAUGCCAAUGAGUUUUAAUAAAAACUUAUUUAUUUUUCAUUGUAUGAAAUUACGAUCCGUAAUGGUUUUGUUCUAGUACCUCGUUUUUAGUAAUAGCCUAAUAGUAUAGAACUACCUCACCAAAUUAUUAUUUUCUUGUUCACUGUGGAGUGAGUUGAGCUUUUACCAAUUUAAAUUUAUUUUCAGGCUGUUUCAGUUUGAAAAAAAAAAAGAAAUGUAUCGAAGCGAUUGUGUAAAUCUAGUAUUCCAAUAGAAAAGAAACCUUAUAACGACCGAAAGAACCCAUUUGCUCAAAAGAAGAUGACAUUCUAAUCCAUAUUUUAUCAUAUUUACAUAGCUCUAACUUAUUCAUAUUUUUUCAUCCAACCUAUCCCAAACAGUUAAGCUGAAAAUUGUUCAAUAUUCGACACGCAAAUCGGACGAGCACUACGACGAUGAUGAUGAAGACGGCGAUGAGGAUGACGAAGCGAGGACCCAAUUCCCGUUGGACCUGAAGAUGGUGGUGGGCCGCAAGGGACGCCCAAUGCUGCUGAUGGGUGGCCACGCCUUUUUCCGCAACAACACCCACAAAAGCAAAACCUACUGGCUGUGUGCCAAGAGUCGUUCGCUGAAGUGUCGUGCCCGCAUUAUCACCCUGGACGGCAGCGCCGGGCUGAUCCUCAAGAAUCAGAUUCAUAAUCAUCCAGCGGCGUUGGAAAAGUAACCGAGUUCGUGUGGCGCUGUACCAGACCAUUCUGGUACUUGAACAAAAAUUUGAUGUUCUCUACUUAAUAUUAUUUUCAGCGAUUGAGCGUAUUGAAAUUUGAAUUCUGUGCAAAUAAAAUGCCCGAAAUUGAAUUGAUCUUGUACUUCAAUUACUGAAUGGGCAAUGAAAGGUAAAUAACUUGCAAAACUUCUGUUUGAGAUUUCCUUUUCUUUUGAAAUAAAGGUUCUGUUUUUGAUUGCACCAAUCGUGUUUUAGUUUAUCUCACUCUAGUACUGCUAGAAAAUCUACUAACAUGCUACAUUCUUUUUUCAGUAUCUACAGUUAUCGAAUACGUUACGGAGGAAAAAGUCGAAAAUAGAAAACCGAUCAAGCCCACUCGCUCCAAGCGGACCAAACCCAAGCACAACGUAAAGGAGAUUAUAAACAGUACCCAAGGAGUCCCCGUGGUGUACCAGAACACACGUUUCGGAGCGGCUCAGGUACUCUUGGAGGACAUGGUGUACUCGUUCACCUACACGAAGAACCAAAUAAGCCACUACAAAUGCAGCCGAUACAGGAGCCAACAGUGCCCGGCCGAGGUAGUGGUCAGCAACAAGCUGGUCUACUAUCUCUGCGCUGCCCAUAAUCACGAUUUGGCCACCGGUCAGCAAUUGGAUGGUAUCUGCAGGUCGUAUCAAGCUAGAGAUUCGACGUAGGUGUUGAUUGGAUGUGGUUGUAAUGUACUGGAAUGGAGAAAAGUAUAUACAGCAUUCCUAGAUGACCAGUAAAGUAUGCGUUGACCUGAUUCCUUCGGGGCCGGAGAAGUCACCCUCCGAUAUCAUCUAGGGAUGGUUGACUAUGUUUCGUAGAAUAGCCUAAUUAUGUCCAAAUUUAUGUAAUACUUAUUAAAUAAUUUCAUUGGCAUUUCUAUUUAAGAUUGCAAUACUUACAGAAUUCAUAGCAUGAUUAUUUACAUAUCUACGUGAAGUACUAGAUUAAAGAAGAAUACAAAAUUAAAUGCAAUAUUCCUACACUAUCAAGAAAGUUUUGUUUAUGAUUAAGUUUUUUUUUUGUUUUUAUUAAUGUGUAUUUUAACUUAUAGCUAAUUCUACACUUAUAUGAUUAAGUUAAAGUGUUGAAUUUUCAAUUAAUCAGCGAGAACUGUCACUCUAACGCAACAAUCUUUCCAGAGGACCGUGAAAUCACCUUCAUUGUGGGAAGACUCGGCAACAUGCAGUUGAUCAUCGACGGUCACCUGUACACCCGGUCUCAAAUCAGGGAACGCAUCAUCAUUUGGCACUGCUCUCGGCAAAGAUCUGGAUGCAAAAGUCGGAUCAGCACCCUGCGAGGCGAACCGGGUACGGCUUACUCUUUCCGUGAGGACCACAAUCACGAGAGCAAAUUUGACUUCAAGAAUAGGGACAUUAAGGUUCUCAAGGUGGCCAAGUUGUUGAUUGUUGGCAAAAACCGUUAGAUUGUGUUGAUAUUUAUUGUAGGCUAAACAAUAAAAUAAAAAUUAAUCUUUCGUAACUUCAGUCUUGAUUCUGCGGUUCUGUUGAACUCAAUUUACCGUUUUGAAUAAAAAUUUUACGAAAGACUUGGAAAGAAAUAGUUAAAAAAUAUUGAUAAAAAAAUGGAAAUUUCACUAACCACUCCCAUUUAAAAUUUGCAUUGCAGAUCAAAAAAGUGACGAUAGUAAUAUCUACGUCGUGUGCACCUCCGAAGGGGAGUACAAGAUUCAGGAGAAACCUGCAACUACAGCGAGACAAACAAAAACAAGCAAAUAUCCAUCUAAGGCCUCGUCACCGAUACGGGUUGUUUGCAUCCUAGGCGGAUUUACAUUUCCGAUCUCCGAUGGCGAUGAAGUGGAACGAUUGGAAAAAUCCGUUUCGGAACGGGCCGACAUUCGCGAGGAAUAUGUGAAAUUGUUGAAGCGCAAAUCGAAACAUAUCAAACUAUUCCAAUUUAUGCCGUCAGUUUUCUCGGAUGAAGCUCUGGAAGGAUAUAACUUCAAUGGAGCAAACGUGCUUGGUAGGCGCAAGAUCGCCAUGAAAGGUUACAAUAUUUUCAGCAGUUGUUUCAUGGAUGCUUACGAAUCGGAAGGGCUAACUAUGGAAGAACUUGCCAACCAAAUAACCACGGCCAUCAAGCAGACUCGUAACAGAAUGCGUCAGCGUACCUUCCGGGUGAAGAGAUCUAUCGAGAAGAUGUUGAAGGAAAAAUCGGAACACUAGCUGGUUGUGUUCGUUCUGGAGUAAACUGGAAAUUUCACCGAUAACCCAUUCGGACUCUUGUAGAAAAUAAUUAAUGUAGUACUAGAUUAGAUUCAUACCUGACCGAUUAUGUAUUUUGUACUUAUUUGAUUCUAGCGAAUCAACUUAAUAAUUUUCAUGUAAACAAUAUAAAAGUAUCAUGAUUUUCAUA